This 253-nucleotide ribosomal RNA is filed under the name uncultured archaeon. RNAcentral's name for it is "partial 16S ribosomal RNA". It matches the Rfam family "Archaeal small subunit ribosomal RNA", at positions 474 to 725 of the family's 1478-position model. The record is from RNAcentral.
UCCCAGCAGUCCAAGUCGCAACCAACAUUAUUGGGUCUAAAACAUCCGUAGCUUGCUUGAUAAGUCUCUCGUGAAAUUUCACAUCUCAAAUGUGAAGCGCGCGAGAGGUACUAUUGAGCUAGAGACCGGUAGGUGUAAGAAGUACGUUCAAGGUAGUAGUAAAAUACGUUAAUCUUGAAUGGACUCACAAUUAGCGAAGGCAUCUUACAAGGACGGAUCUGACAGUGAGGGAUGAAGGCCAAGGGCGCAAAAG